CAGGGCUCGCUUGACCCCCCAAAUCCAUCUAGAGAGGGAGCUCGAUUCAAUCAAACCCUGCAGGCUUGAGGGCAGAAGCUAACCUGCCACAUCCGCCUCUGUCCAACUGCAAGCAUGGAUGGUCGCUGCAGGAGUUAAGACAGCCAGCGUCAGGCGCACCGGUUGUGGGGUUACAGUGGGGACCGGACAUGGUGCGACCCUUCAGAAACAGCAUCCAUUGAUGCAGCCCUCUCUGCAGAAGCCUGACUCCUGUGUUCCCCGCAGCCUCUGGAGGGAGGCUGAGGCAGGAGGAUCACCCAGAGCCCAAGGCCAGGUUACAUAGUGAGUUCAAGGCCAGUCUGGACUAUAUAGUGAGACUUGUCUCAAGAAACAUGGUAAAUGAGCCCUCCGAAAAAGAAACAAGAAAAGUCAGACCAGGGUUUCAAGUGAAAAUCAGCUAAUUUUCUCCUCUGUGAGGUUUGUAGGAGAGAAAUUUGGAAUCAGAAAUUAACAGCAGUCACACAAUUAAACCAGGGUCUUUGCAGCUUCCACAGCUACAGAAAUGGCAGUGAUGAUCACAAACUUUCAUUUCUCUCCUUUCGCUGAAAUGAAGACGGAAGAAAUGUAACUGCCUCCCAAAAGAGGGUAAAACUUGUACUCGGAGCCUAGAACACACAGGAUAAAAAGAAAGAAUUCGUUUGGCAAGGUUGAAAUUUGGAAGGUCCGCCAGGUGUGGUGGUGCACGUCUGUGAUCCCUGCACUUGGGAGGCUGAGGCAGGAGGAUUGCAAGCGCUGAGGUGAGCUGAGAUCCCAGCUGGAACCUGACCCAAAGGACCAGCGGGGUCAGAGAGGC
Molecule: long non-coding RNA, 832 nt
Filed under: Heterocephalus glaber (naked mole-rat)
Lineage: Eukaryota; Metazoa; Chordata; Mammalia; Rodentia; Bathyergidae
Description: lncRNA (ENSHGLG00000049434.1)
Source: RNAcentral